CCAAAAUUGGGGAGGGGGAGUUGGGAUUUGGGGAGGGGGACCCCAAAAAUGGGAGGGGGGAUUUGGAAUUUGGGAUAUUUUGGGUCCGUUCUGGUGCAUUUUGGGUGCAUUUUGGGGUAUUUUGGGUCCAUUUUGGUGCAUUUUGGUGCAUUUUGGGCUAUUUUGGGUGGAUUUUGGGCUAUUUUGGGUCCGUUUUGGUGCAUUUUGGGCUAUUUUGGGUGGAUUUUGGGCUAUUUUGGGUGGAUUUUGGGCUAUUUUGGGUGGAUUUUGGGCUAUUUUGGGUGGAUUUGGGGCUAUUCUGGGUGGAUUUUGGGCUAUUUUGGGUGGAUUUUGGGAUAUUUUGGGUGCAUUUUGGGUUAUUUUGGGUGGAUUUUGGGAUAUUUUGGGUGCAUUUUGGGUUAUUCUGGGUGGAUUUGGUCGCGUUCUGUCGCGUUCCCGUUGCGUUGCGCGCUCCCCGACGCGCCCGGCGCCGGCGCAGGUUUUCCUGCAGGACACCUUCGGCCUGAAGACGCUGUGGGGCCGGGGGGCCCUGGGGGGCUGCGCCGUGCCCGGGGUGCCCCACACGGCCUGGCACAGCCACCGGGGGGUCUACGAGCGCUGCAUCCGGCCCUGGCUCACCUGAGAGCGAUCUAUAGGGGAUCCAUAGGGGAUCUGUGGGGCUGGGAGGGAUCUAUGGGGGUUUCUAUGGGAUCUAUG
This 696-nucleotide long non-coding RNA is filed under the name Cyanistes caeruleus (blue tit). RNAcentral's name for it is "lncRNA (ENSCCEG00000002641.1)". The record is from RNAcentral. Lineage: Eukaryota; Metazoa; Chordata; Aves; Passeriformes; Paridae.